This 425-nucleotide ribosomal RNA is filed under the name Vicinamibacterales bacterium. Its description in RNAcentral is "bacterial SSU rRNA". It matches the Rfam family "Bacterial small subunit ribosomal RNA", at positions 1 to 414 of the family's 1533-position model. Lineage: Bacteria; Pseudomonadati; Acidobacteriota; Vicinamibacteria; Vicinamibacterales. The record is from RNAcentral.
UAACAUGAGAGUUUGAUCCUGGCUCAGAAUCAACGCUGGCGGCGUGCCUAACACAUGCAAGUCGAACGCGGCUAUCCCGCAAGGGAUAGCUGAGUGGCGAACGGGUGAGUAACACGUGGGUGACCUACCUUCGAAUGGGGGAUAACGUCCCGAAAGGGACGCUAAUACCGCAUAACAUCCCGCCUUUGAACAGGUGGAGAUCAAAGCUGGGGAUCGCAAGACCUGGCGUUUGAAGAGGGGCCCGCGUCUGAUUAGCUAGUUGGUGAGGUAACGGCUCACCAAGGCGACGAUCAGUAUCCGGCCUGAGAGGGCGGACGGACACACUGGGACUGAGACACGGCCCAGACUCCUACGGGAGGCAGCAGUGGGGAUUUGUUCACAAUGGGCGCAAGCCUGAUGACGCAACGCCGCGUGGAGGAUGAUGG